GACGAACGCUGGCGGCGUGCUUAACACAUGCAAGUCGUACGGUAAGGCCCUUUCGGGGGUACCCGAGUGGCGACCGGGUGAGUAACACGUGAGUAACCUGCCCACAACUUUGGGAUAACGCUAGGAAACUGGUGCUAAUACUGGUUAUGUGUUCCUGCUGCAUGGUGGGGGUUGGAAAGCUCCGGCGGUUGUGGAUGGACUCGCGGCCUAUCAGCUUGUUGGUGGGGUAGUGGCCUACCAAGGCGGCGACGGGUAGCCGGCCUGAGAGGGUGACCGGACACAUUGGGACUGAGGUACGGCCCAGACUCCUACGGGAGGCAACAGUGGGGAAUAUUGCACAAUGGGCGCAGGCCUGAUGCAGCAGGGCCGCGUGCGGGAUAACGGCCUUCGGGUUGUAAACCGCUUUCAGCAGGGACGAAGCUUUUUGUGACGGUACCUACAGAAGAAGCACCGGCUAACUACGUG
Molecule: ribosomal RNA, 465 nt
Filed under: uncultured bacterium
Lineage: Bacteria
Description: partial 16S ribosomal RNA
Rfam family: Bacterial small subunit ribosomal RNA
Source: RNAcentral